RNAcentral lists this transfer-messenger RNA (333 nucleotides) under Alphaproteobacteria bacterium. It matches the Rfam family "Alphaproteobacteria transfer-messenger RNA". Rfam says of the family: Bacterial tmRNA, also known as 10Sa RNA or SsrA, is named for its dual tRNA and mRNA-like properties. Its role is to liberate the mRNA from a stalled ribosome. Lineage: Bacteria; Pseudomonadati; Pseudomonadota; Alphaproteobacteria. The record is from RNAcentral.
CCCCUUCCAAAUGGCGCUCGGAGCACCUAUAUUGGACAUGCCGCUUCGGCGGCUAUGGCGAUAAACGUUUUGUGAAAUAAGCGUUGCGGACCCGGGGGCGGUACCCGGCGCCUCCACCAUUUCCGUUUGGUAACCGCGGCAGGCGGUACCCCACAGGCGGUAUUCCAUGGGGGCGAAAUAGGAUCGACGUGCGUGGUAAAGGCAAAAUUUUCGCCCGGCAUGAUACCACCGUUAUCGGGUCACACCUUAGGUGCGAACGACAAUGAACUCGCACUCGCUGCUUAAGUAAGCAAGCGCGGCCCGGGGGGCGCCGGGCAACAGAAGCCCCCCACC